AACGAACGCUGGCGGCAGGCUUAACACAUGCCAGUCGAGCGCCCCGCAAGGGGAGCGGCAUACGGGUGAGUAACGCGUGGGAACGUACCUUUUGGUUCGGAACAACUCCGGGAAACUGGAGCUAAUACCGGAUAAGCCCUAACGGGGAAAGAUUUAUCGCCGAAAGAUCGGCCCGCGUCUGAUUAGCUAGUUGGUGAGGUAACGGCUCACCAAGGCGACGAUCAGUAGCUGGUCUGAGAGGAUGAUCAGCCACACUGGGACUGAGACACGGCCCAGACUCCUACGGGAGGCAGCAGUGGGGAAUAUUGGACAAUGGGCGCAAGCCUGAUCCAGCCAUGCCGCGUGAGUGAUGAAGGCCUUAGGGUUGUAAAGCUCUUUUGUCCGGGAAGAUAAUGACUGUACCGGAAGAAUAAGCCCCGGCUAACUUCGUG
RNAcentral lists this ribosomal RNA (431 nucleotides) under uncultured bacterium. Its description in RNAcentral is "partial 16S ribosomal RNA". It matches the Rfam family "Bacterial small subunit ribosomal RNA", at positions 29 to 507 of the family's 1533-position model. The record is from RNAcentral.